RNAcentral lists this ribosomal RNA (417 nucleotides) under uncultured prokaryote. RNAcentral's name for it is "bacterial SSU rRNA". It matches the Rfam family "Bacterial small subunit ribosomal RNA", at positions 355 to 774 of the family's 1533-position model. The record is from RNAcentral.
UAAGGAAUAUUGCGCAAUGGGCGAAAGCCUGACGCAGCGACGCCGCGUGGGGGAUGAAGGUCUUCGGAUUGUAAACCCCUUUCGGGAGGGAAGAUGGAGCGAGCAAUCGUUCGGACGGUACCUCCAGAAGCAGCCACGGCCAACUUCGUGCCAGCAGCCGCGGUAAUACGAAGGUGGCAAGCGUUGUUCGGAUUCACUGGGCGUACAGGGUGUGUAGGCGGUUUGGUAAGCCUUCUGUUAAAGCUUCGGGCCCAACCCGGAAAGCGCAGAGGGUACUGCCAGGCUAGAGGGUGGGAGAGGAGCGCGGAAUUCCUGGUGUAGCGGUGAAAUGCGUAGAGAUCGGGAGGAAGGCCGGUGGCGAAGGCGGCGCUCUGGAACAUACCUGACGCUGCGACACGAAAGCGUGGCGGGCUCACA